UGGAUCCCUAGUAGCGGCGAGCGAAGCGGGAUGAGCCCAGAUUUGAAAGCUCCCGCCAGGGCGCAUUGUAAGCUGGAGACGUGCCUCGAGCGGCGCGGCUGGACGCCAAGUCUGCUGGAAAGCAGCAUCAGAGAGGGUGAGAAUCCCGUGCUUGGUCUGGCUGUGGCGCCGUGUUGUGGGGUGCGCUCGACGAGUCGCGUUGUUUGGGAAUGCAGCGCAAAGCGGGUGGUAAACGCCAUCCAAGGCUAAAUACCGGGGAGAGACCGAUAGCGAACAAGUACCGUGAGGGAAAGAUGAAAAGCACUUUGGAAAGAGAGUUAAACAGUACGUGAAAUUGCCAAGAGGGAAGCGCUGGCAGUCAGUGCCGUAGCUGUGUCUCUGUGGAUGCAGUGGGGCCCGCAUCGGUUGCGUGUGGGGGAGAAGGCAGUGCGGAAGGUGGCUUACCUCGUGUGAGUGUUAUAGCCGUGCUGUGGAUGCCCUGCGUGCGACCGAGGACCGCUCUUUUGACAGGAUGCGGGCUUAAUGGCUUUCAGCGGCCCGUCUAAACCCCC
This 551-nucleotide ribosomal RNA is filed under the name Moniliella dehoogii. RNAcentral's name for it is "partial large subunit ribosomal RNA". It matches the Rfam family "Eukaryotic large subunit ribosomal RNA", at positions 71 to 662 of the family's 3401-position model. The record is from RNAcentral. Lineage: Eukaryota; Fungi; Basidiomycota; Moniliellomycetes; Moniliellales; Moniliellaceae.